AUGAACGCUGGCGGCGUGCCUAAUCCAUGCAAGUCGAGCGAACAGACGAGGAGCUUGCUCCUUUGACGUUAGCGGCGGACGGGUGAGUAACACGUGGAUAACCUACCUAUAAGACUGGGAUAACUUCGGGAAACCGGAGCUAAUACCGGAUAAUAUAUUGAACCGCAUGGUUCAAUAGUGAAAGACGGUUUUGCUGUCACUUAUAGAUGGAUCCGCGCCGCAUUAGCUAGUUGGUAAGGUAACGGCUUACCAAGGCAACGAUGCGUAGCCGACCUGAGAGGGUGAUCGGCCACACUGGAACUGAGACACGGUCCAGACUCCUACGGGAGGCAGCAGUAGGGAAUCUUCCGCAAUGGGCGAAAGCCUGACGGAGCAACGCCGCGUGAGUGAUGAAGGUCUUCGGAUCGUAAAACUCUGUUAUUAGGGAAGAACAAAUGUGUAAGUAACUAUGCACGUCUUGACGGUACCUAAUCAGAAAGCCACGGCUAACUACGUG
RNAcentral lists this ribosomal RNA (496 nucleotides) under uncultured bacterium. RNAcentral describes it as "partial 16S ribosomal RNA". It matches the Rfam family "Bacterial small subunit ribosomal RNA", at positions 29 to 507 of the family's 1533-position model. The record is from RNAcentral.